RNAcentral lists this transfer RNA (73 nucleotides) under Clostridium sp. Its description in RNAcentral is "tRNA-Thr". It matches the Rfam family "tRNA". From Rfam's summary of the family: Transfer RNA (tRNA) molecules are approximately 80 nucleotides in length. Lineage: Bacteria; Bacillati; Bacillota; Clostridia; Eubacteriales; Clostridiaceae. RNAcentral also lists the same sequence under 2 other names. The record is from RNAcentral.
GCUUCCAUGGCUCAGUUGGUAGAGCGACGCAUUCGUAAUGCGUAGGUCGCCGGUUCGAGUCCGGCUGGGAGCU